AGAGUUUGAUCCUGGCUCAGGACGAACGCUGGCGGCGUGCUUAACACAUGCAAGUCGAACGGAAAGGUCUCUUCGGAGAUACUCGAGUGGCGAACGGGUGAGUAACACGUGGGUGAUCUGCCCUGCACUUUGGGAUAAGCCUGGGAAACUGGGUCUAAUACCGGAUAGGACCGCGCCAUGCAUGUGGUGUGGUGGAAAGCUAUUUGCGGUGUGGGAUGGGCCCGCGGCCUAUCAGCUUGUUGGUGGGGUGAUGGCCUACCAAGGCGACGACGGGUAGCCGGCCUGAGAGGGCGUCCGGCCACACUGGGACUGAGAUACGGCCCAGACUCCUACGGGAGGCAGCAGUGGGGAAUAUUGCACAAUGGGCGCAAGCCUGAUGCAGCGACGCCGCGUGGGGGAUGACGGCCUUCGGGUUGUAAACCUCUUUCACCAUCGGCGA
Molecule: ribosomal RNA, 439 nt
Filed under: uncultured bacterium
Lineage: Bacteria
Description: bacterial SSU rRNA
Rfam family: Bacterial small subunit ribosomal RNA
Source: RNAcentral